RNAcentral lists this ribosomal RNA (385 nucleotides) under rhizosphere bacterium UMCV2. RNAcentral's name for it is "bacterial SSU rRNA". It matches the Rfam family "Bacterial small subunit ribosomal RNA", at positions 1083 to 1463 of the family's 1533-position model. The record is from RNAcentral. Lineage: Bacteria; Bacillati; Actinomycetota; Actinomycetes; Micrococcales; Micrococcaceae.
AGUCCCGCAACGAGCGCAACCCUCGUUCCAUGUUGCCAGCGGGUUAUGCCGGGGACUCAUGGGAGACUGCCGGGGUCAACUCGGAGGAAGGUGGGGACGACGUCAAAUCAUCAUGCCCCUUAUGUCUUGGGCUUCACGCAUGCUACAAUGGCCGGUACAAAGGGUUGCGAUACUGUGAGGUGGAGCUAAUCCCAAAAAGCCGGUCUCAGUUCGGAUUGAGGUCUGCAACUCGACCUCAUGAAGUUGGAGUCGCUAGUAAUCGCAGAUCAGCAACGCUGCGGUGAAUACGUUCCCGGGCCUUGUACACACCGCCCGUCAAGUCACGAAAGUUGGUAACACCCGAAGCCGGUGGCCUAACCCCUUGUGGGAGGGAGCCGUCGAAGGU